RNAcentral lists this ribosomal RNA (253 nucleotides) under uncultured bacterium. RNAcentral's name for it is "partial 16S ribosomal RNA". It matches the Rfam family "Bacterial small subunit ribosomal RNA", at positions 524 to 776 of the family's 1533-position model. The record is from RNAcentral.
UACGUAGGUGGCAAGCGUUAUCCGGAUUUAUUGGGCGUAAAGAGAACGCAGGCGGUCUUUUAAGUCUGAUGUGAAAGCCUUCGGCUUAACCGGAGUAGUGCAUUGGAAACUGGGAGACUUGAGUGCAGAAGAGGAGAGUGGAACUCCAUGUGUAGCGGUGAAAUGCGUAGAUAUAUGGAGGAACACCGGUGGCGAAAGCGGCUCUCUGGCCUGUAACUGACACUGAGGCUCGAAAGCGUGGGGAGCAAACAGG